Molecule: ribosomal RNA, 285 nt
Filed under: Triticum aestivum (bread wheat)
Lineage: Eukaryota; Viridiplantae; Streptophyta; Magnoliopsida; Poales; Poaceae
Description: partial small subunit ribosomal RNA
Source: RNAcentral
GAGACAUUGGAUCAUUUGCUUCUCGGAUGCAUUCUAGCACGACAGGUAUGGGCCAAGAUCAUGAACACUUGGAGUAGGCUGGAGUGGACGCCAUAUGCAGAUUCAAAACUAGUUGAAUGGUGGACAACACUCAACCCCCAAAAGCAAUUUCGAAAGGAGGCAUGGACGGUGAUAACACUGGUGCUAUGGAUGCUGUGGAAGCACAGAAAUGACAUUGUUUUCAAUGGAGCAUCAGCAUCGGCGAACGAUAUGCUUGUUAAGAUCGAGUUAGAGGCUCGGGACUAG